This 443-nucleotide ribosomal RNA is filed under the name uncultured bacterium. Its description in RNAcentral is "partial 16S ribosomal RNA". It matches the Rfam family "Bacterial small subunit ribosomal RNA", at positions 338 to 795 of the family's 1533-position model. The record is from RNAcentral.
CCUACGGGAGGCAGCAGUGGGGAAUAUUGGGCAAUGGGCGCAAGCCUGACCCAGCAACGCCGCGUGAAGGAAGAAGGCUUUCGGGUUGUAAACUUCUUUUCUGAGGGACGAAGAAAGUGACGGUACCGCAGGAAUAAGCCACGGCUAACUACGUGCCAGCAGCCGCGGUAAGACGUAGGUGGCAAGCGUUAUCCGGAUUUAUUGGGUGUAAAGGGCGUGGAGGUGGGAAAGCAAGUCAGCUGUGAAAACUCAGGGAUCAACCCUGAGCCUGCAUUUGAAACUGUUUUUCUUGAGUGCUGGAGAGGCAAUCGGAAUUCCGUGUGUAGCGGUGAAAUGCGUAGAGAUACGGAGGAACACCAGUGGCGAAAGCGCUUUACUGGACCAUUAUUGACGCGGAGGAACGAAAGCCAGGGGAGCAAAUGGGAUUAGAUACCCGAGUAGUC